AAAAGGGUUUAGAGUUGUCAGAUUCUGGUAGCCAGUCA
This is a non-coding RNA of Otolemur garnettii (small-eared galago), 38 nucleotides long. Lineage: Eukaryota; Metazoa; Chordata; Mammalia; Primates; Galagidae. The record is from Rfam.